UCUAACAUGUGCGCGAGUCAUUGGGCUUGCUAAACCUAAAGGCGAAAUGAAAGUGAAGGCGGUGCAAUACCUUCCUAGGGGUGAUGGUCGCGCUUCGUGCCGGCCCGCAACCCCGGGGCGUUACUUCACUUGUGGAGUGACGCACCUAGAGCGCACACGUUGGUACCCGAAAGAUGGUGAACUAUGCCUGGCCAGGAUGAAGUCAGGGGAAACCCUGAUGGAAGUCCGUAGCAAUUCUGACGUGCAAAUCGAUUGUCAGAGCUGGGUAUAGGGGCGAAAGACUAAUCGAACCAUC
This 295-nucleotide ribosomal RNA is filed under the name Thrips flavus. RNAcentral's name for it is "partial 28S ribosomal RNA". It matches the Rfam family "Eukaryotic large subunit ribosomal RNA", at positions 674 to 944 of the family's 3401-position model. Lineage: Eukaryota; Metazoa; Arthropoda; Insecta; Thysanoptera; Thripidae. The record is from RNAcentral.